This 85-nucleotide non-coding RNA is filed under the name Alteromonadaceae bacterium Bs31. Its description in RNAcentral is "c-di-GMP-I riboswitch aptamer". It matches the Rfam family "c-di-GMP-I riboswitch aptamer". From Rfam's summary of the family: GEMM was predicted in a large-scale screen for bacterial structured RNA regulatory elements. Genes associated with GEMM are involved in a diverse array of functions, including chemotaxis regulation, signal transduction, secretion and chitin. RNAcentral also lists the same sequence under 1 other name. The record is from Rfam by way of RNAcentral. Lineage: Bacteria; Pseudomonadati; Pseudomonadota; Gammaproteobacteria; Alteromonadales; Alteromonadaceae.
UUCUGAAAAAGGCAAGUUGCAUCGAAAGAGCAAUACGCAAAAUUACCGGUCUAAGGGCAGCGCCUAUGACAGCGGGAUCGCCAGA